This 451-nucleotide ribosomal RNA is filed under the name uncultured bacterium. RNAcentral's name for it is "partial 16S ribosomal RNA". It matches the Rfam family "Bacterial small subunit ribosomal RNA", at positions 28 to 507 of the family's 1533-position model. The record is from RNAcentral.
AGCGAACGCUGGCGGCAUGCCUAACACAUGCAAGUCGCACGGGGGGGCUUCGGCCUCCCAGUGGCGGACGGGUGGGGAACGCGUAGGGACCUGUCGAGGGGUGGGGGAUAACCGCGGGAAACUGCGGCUAAUACCGCAUGACGCCGCGGCGUGACAGCCGGGGCCAAAGGCGAAAGCCGCCCGCCGAGGGGCCUGCGUCCGAUUAGCUGGUUGGCGGGGUAGCGGCCCACCAAGGCGUCGAUCGGUAGCUGGUCUGAGAGGGUGAUCAGCCACACCGGGACUGAGACACGGCCCGGACUCCUACGGGAGGCAGCAGUGGGGAAUAUUGGACAAUGGGCGCAAGCCUGAUCCAGCAAUGCCGCGUGGGUGAAGAAGGUCUUCGGAUUGUAAAGCCCUUUCGGCGGGGACGAUGGUGACGGUACCCGCAGAAGAAGCCCCGGCUAACUUCGUG